ACAUCUCCCAUGGUUGGCUGGAAGUCUCGGCUGCUGCUGCUUCGACGCUGUAAUCAUCUCUCAAUACUACCUGUACCGUCCGAAGACACCGCUAGCAGAGGACACCGAACGAGCGGGCCUUCUCAAUUCACAAGACGACUCCGAUUAGAAUUAAAAAAUCGACUAGUUUUUAAAUUAAUUUUUCUGAAAAAAAAAUUGGUCUGAAAUCGGUUGAAAAUCGAUUUUUCCCCAAUUUUUCCACCUUAAUUUGUUCUUGUAACCCUCCAUUUUUUGAUAUAUUUUUCUCAUGUUCUAACUUAAAUUAUACUUAUAUCUAUAUAUACAUAUUUUGUACUAACCUCCCCCACCACCAAAAGGGUGUUGAAAAUUUUUAGAUUGUUCGGCGUUUAUUUCAGAAAAAAAAAUGACAUAAGAUUGAAAUGUUUUCUACAAAUCGAGAACGUAUAGAAAUUUUUUUAAACCGUUUUUUUAUCUGAAAAACCGAACAAUUAAUUUUUCGAAAAAAUCAGCCAGCCGCUCAGCCCUGCCCGACACCCUUACCACUCUUAGCUCCCCCUCCCCCCCCCCCCCCAAAAAAUUUGUAAUUUAAAUUUUGUCUGUAAUUUUGUCACCCGUCCCGAAUCUUGUCCUAUGCGCGUAUUAUGUGAUGAAAAAACCACGUGGCAUUUGAAUUUUUCUUGAAGAAAACCGAAUUUUCCCCUUUUUUUUAAAGUUUUUUCGACCCAAUUUUCAGUUUUAACGGCUGUAGUUUAUAUUUUGUGUGAUGUGUGAACCGAUUUUAUAGAUUUUCAGAAACAUUUCAGGUUUCUCGACGGGUUUUAGCCAUGACCAACAUGCAGCAUUAUAUGGAUGAUAUCAACGAUUG
Molecule: small RNA, 865 nt
Filed under: Caenorhabditis elegans
Lineage: Eukaryota; Metazoa; Nematoda; Chromadorea; Rhabditida; Rhabditidae
Description: Unclassified non-coding RNA Y43H11AL.9
Source: RNAcentral